AACGAACGCUGGCGGCAUGCCUAACACAUGCAAGUCGAACGAGACCUUCGGGUCUAGUGGCGCACGGGUGCGUAACGCGUGGGAACCUGCCCUUAGGUUCGGAAUACCUCCCCGAAAGGGGUGCUAAUACCGGAUAAUGUCUUCGGACCAAAGAUUUAUCGCCUUUGGAUGGGCCCGCGUUGGAUUAGCUAGUUGGUAGGGUAAAAGCCUACCAAGGCGACGAUCCAUAGCUGGUCUGAGAGGAUGAUCCGCCACACUGGGACUGAGACACGGCCCAGACUCCUACGGGAGGCAGCAGUGGGGAAUAUUGGACAAUGGGCGAAAGCAUGAUCCAGCAAUGCCGCGUGAGUGAUGAAGGCCUUAGGGUUGUAAAGCUCUUUUACCCGGGAUGAUAAUGACAGUACCGGGAGAAUAAGCACCGGCUAACUCCGUG
Molecule: ribosomal RNA, 433 nt
Filed under: uncultured bacterium
Lineage: Bacteria
Description: partial 16S ribosomal RNA
Rfam family: Bacterial small subunit ribosomal RNA
Source: RNAcentral